This is an RNA transcript of Siniperca chuatsi (mandarin fish), 1217 nucleotides long. It is a transcript of the gene named L-rhamnose-binding lectin SML-like, with no coding region annotated. NCBI's taxonomy places the organism in Eukaryota, Metazoa, Chordata, Actinopteri, Centrarchiformes, Sinipercidae. The transcript has 13 exons. The record is from RefSeq and is a predicted model, not a curated record.
UGUCUCAUGGGAUUGUCAUGUUAUUCUCAUUUUGGAAUUCAUAGCCAGUUGAAUAGGAGCCACUGGAGUCAGGUUCAGGUUUGUUUUUCAUGAUACACACAGACUGCCCUAGAUCGAAAUUAAUAAAUACUGAGUAUGUCUAUUCCCACCAUCAGUCUCACUCACCUCACCUACCACUGAGUCCUAUAAAACCAUGCUUCACGUCAGCAACACACUCUUGCUGGCAGCAACCUGUCUGCUUGUAAAUGCAGGUGUCCUCUCAGAGACAGUUACCACCUGUGAAGGCGUCCAUCGCCUGAGCUGUGAUAUCGGAGUGAUCAGUGUUCAGACAGCACUGUACGGACGUGCUGACAGUGAGACCUGUAGUGAGGGAAAACCUCCACAAGAGACUUCUAAUACAAAGUGCUCUCUGGCGGAUGCUGUGGACAUCCUCAAGAGAAGGUGUGACGGAAAAACAGUGUGUGAACUAAACACAAAUGUUGUCGGAGUAUCUGAUCCCUGCCAUGGCACCCAUAAAUAUCUGCAGACCAAGUACACCUGCCUCCCAGCAAUUCACCAUGUGACAUGUGAGCACUCCUAUGCAGAACUGUAUUGUGAUGAAGGCCAGGUUAUAUUUGUCUACAGUGCUGAUUAUGGACGCCAUGACAAGACCACAUGCUCUUACAAACGGCCUGCCUCUCAGCUCGAAAAUAUUGACUGCUCACAAGCCACCAGCAAAUUAAAUGACAGCUGCAGUGGGAAAAACAGCUGUAUUAUCAAAGCAAGCAACUCAGUGUUUGGAGACCCAUGUGUUGGCACUUACAAGUACCUGGAGGUGGCUUACAUAUGUGAAUAUGAGCUGCAACCACAAGACUCCAGACCAGAGAGUGAGGAAGAGUAUGCUGAGCAUCAGGAGACAUAUGAGACAGAUGAGCUGCAACCACAAGACUCCAGACCAGAGAGUGAGGAAGAGUAUGCUGAGCAUCAGGAGACAUAUGAGACAGAUGAGCUGCAACCACAAGACUCCAGACCAGAGAGUGAGGAAGAGUAUGCUGAGCAUCAGGAGACAUAUGAGACAGGUACAUUUGAAUGAUGAGCUGCAACCACAAGACUCCAGACCAGAGAGUGAGGAAGAGUAUGCUGAGCAUCAGGAGACAUAUGAGACAGAUCCUGUGACCACUCUGGAUGAGUCUGUGGACACACAAUAAGAUCACAAUAAAAAAUACGCUAAAUCAGCA